UUCUUAUCAAGAGAGACGGAGGGAUUGGCCCGAAGAUGUCUCAGCAACCAGCCGAAUAAAGGUGUGGUGCUAAUUCCAAUAGACGUUCUACGUCUUGAAGAUAAGAA
Molecule: non-coding RNA, 107 nt
Filed under: Psychrobacillus sp. FJAT-21963
Lineage: Bacteria; Bacillati; Bacillota; Bacilli; Caryophanales; Bacillaceae
Also listed under: 1 other name
Description: SAM riboswitch aptamer (S box leader)
Rfam family: SAM riboswitch aptamer (S box leader)
About the family: The SAM riboswitch is found upstream of a number of genes which code for proteins involved in methionine or cysteine biosynthesis in Gram-positive bacteria.
Source: Rfam by way of RNAcentral